This 1742-nucleotide long non-coding RNA is filed under the name Homo sapiens (human). Its description in RNAcentral is "non-protein coding LINC02323:13". The record is from RNAcentral. Lineage: Eukaryota; Metazoa; Chordata; Mammalia; Primates; Hominidae.
ACACCUCUCUUCCGGCUGGAGCAGCCUGACCAAGUCCCACUUGCUGUUCUGCCAGGGAGCCUGAUUUUGGCACUGGUGUAUUUCCAGAACCAAGGUGGGUGCCCGGUCUGAGGCCCUAGCGGGUGUCUGGGUCCCUUCCUGGAGGCCCCUUGCCUCCCUCAGCCCUGGCUUUUGGGACUUAGCAGGGGAGGAAGUUUUUUGUUUUGUUUUGUUUUGAGACGAAGUCUCACUGUCACCAAGGCUGGAGUGCAGUGGCACAAUCUCGGCUCACUGCAACCUCCCUCUCCUGGGUUCAAGCGAUUCUCCCGCCUCAGCGUUGCGAGUUGCUGGGACUACAGGCUCAGGACCCUAUGGGAUUGCACAGGUCGCAGCCCAAGCGCAGUACUUGCGCACAGGUCCCAGCCCCUUCCCUCUCUGGGACUUGUCUUCUGGCCCCUCACUCCUGCGAUGAGCUUUUCUUUCAGCUGGUGAAAGGCCGCAGACUUCGAACCUCUGGGCCUUUGUCCAGGACGUUCCCUCAGCGCUCAGUGCCCUUCCUGGUGGCCUCCUACAUCUUCAGAUCCCGGCUGAGCUCUGCUUAAAUCCGGGACCGGGUAGUCACUGGGGCAGCCACUUGGCUGGGGCGAGGCCACCUCGCUUUGGGUCUUGUCGCGCCCAGGCCAGCGCCAGCCCAGGCUUGCCAUGGACUGGCUCCUGGGCGUUAGAUGAAUGAAUCGACUCAACCCGGGCCGCCACGUUGUGUUCAGAACACCGACAGUCGCUCCCAGGCAACCAGCACCUGCUGCGCCCCGUUUCCAGCGACCUCCCCAACCGCGUGGACUCGCAUCCACGUGCCCGGCGGGGCCGCAGCAGAAAGGCUCGGACCCCCCAGGACGAUCGGCCGGUGGGGGCCGGUGGGGCCGCAGACUCGGGGGGCGGGGGGCGCCAGGCUUCCGGGUCCUGCCCCCGCCCCGUGGGGAACAGCAGGACGGCGCCGAGGCCGUUUCGCUUUCCUCCGCGCCCAUUUGCCGGGAGGGGACCCCGUGCUCCGACCUGAAGGUGACGGCAGAGCCUGCGGGAGGCCUAGGCCGGUCCCGCCCUACGGGUCCCGGGGGCGACCCUCGCGCUGACAUUGGCGUCCAGGCCGCGGCCCCUGCCUCCGCGCCCACCCACGCCGGGCCUGGCCCUCGCUCCCCCGGGAAAAGCCCCGCCGGCGGCCGCGAGAGCGCGGAAGCGCAGCCGUAGUGACCGCGAGACAAAGACCCGGCGGCGGGGGAGGCGGCGGAGAGACCCCGCCAGCGCGGAGACCCCAGGGAAGCUUCUCUGGAAGACCUGGUGCUGGUCCGCUCUCCCGGGACCUCAUUUUCCUUAUGUGGACAACGGGGGCGGGGUCACAGCAGCCCCUCGGGCUUAUAGCCGGGUUGUUCUUUCCUUAAAUCUCCUCCCUCUGCCAAAAUAAAAAACCCCACAGGGCAAGGCGCGGUGGCUCACGCCUGUAAUCCCAGCACUUUGGGAGGCCGAGGCAGGUGGAUCACCUGAGGUCAGGAGUUCGAGACCAGCCUUACCAAUUUGGUGAAACCCCGUCUCUACUAAAAAUACAAAAAUUAGCUGGACGUGGUGGCCGGCGCCUGUAAUCCCAGCUACUCGGUAGGCUGAGAUAGGAGAAUUGCUUGGACCCGGGAGGCUAAGGUCAGUGAGCCGAGAUCGUGCCACUGCACUCCAGCCUGGGCGACAGAGGGAGACUCCGUCUCAAAAAAAAGAAA